UACGAAGGGGGCUAGCGUUGCUCGGAAUUACUGGGCGUAAAGCGCACGUAGGCGGCUCUUUAAGUCGGGGGUGAAAUCCUGGAGCUCAACUCCAGAACUGCCUUCGAUACUGAAGAGCUCGAGUCCGGGAGAGGUGAGUGGAACUGCGAGUGUAGAGGUGAAAUUCGUAGAUAUUCGGAAGAACACCAGUGGCGAAGGCGGCUCACUGGACCGUAGUUGACGCUGAGGUGCGAAAGCGUGGGGAGCAAACAGG
This 253-nucleotide ribosomal RNA is filed under the name uncultured bacterium. RNAcentral's name for it is "partial 16S ribosomal RNA". It matches the Rfam family "Bacterial small subunit ribosomal RNA", at positions 524 to 776 of the family's 1533-position model. The record is from RNAcentral.